AAGUCGUAACAAGGUUUCCGUAGGUGAACCUGCGGAAGGAUCAUUACCUUUCUGGCUAUUUAGUAGCUUGUCGGGGGGUUAUAGUCUCUAUAGCCUCUGACUGAAUCCGUGUUUUUUGCGUACUACAUGUUUUCCCUCGGCAGGCUUUGCCCUGCCGAUUGGACAACCUAAAACUCUUUGCAAUUGCAAUCAGCGUCUGGAUUAUUUAAUAAUUUACAAC
Molecule: unclassified non-coding RNA, 220 nt
Filed under: plant metagenome
Description: partial contains small subunit ribosomal RNA and internal transcribed spacer 1
Rfam family: Eukaryotic small subunit ribosomal RNA (bases 1-46)
Source: RNAcentral